AUGUUCGUGGCACACCAUCACAUAUCUCACAUACCCAAGGUGCGCGCACACUGGGUACCGCCCCAGCCGGGCUGGGUUAAGUUGAACACGGAUGGGAGCUACAUAGCGGCCACAUGUGCGGCGGGAGGAGGUAUGAUCCUGCGUGAUGACAGAGGCGAGAUCAUCUACAGCGCAUGUAGGGAGCUACGUACAUGUGACAACGCUUUAGAGGCGGAGUUAGAAGCGUGCAGAGAAGGCUUGGAGCUGGCCUUGCACCGAUCUAACCUACCUAUUCUGGUUGAGUUGGAUAGCACGGAGGCGGUGUCGAUGAUUACAGCACGCGAGAUGGAUAGAUCGUCACAUCGUGCACUUAUAAAGGAGAUUCGUAGGUUGGCUGGAAGCGAUGAUAGGGAGAUCUCUUUUACUCUUUGUAGCCGUCUGCAGAACAUGAUUAGUCAUGAGCUGGCCGCCUAUGGCCGUAGCACUCCGCGCACAGCAGUCUGGCUUACUGCCGGGAUGGACUUUGUUAUAAACCUGGCUCUCGCUAAGAAGCUUCCUUGA
Molecule: ribosomal RNA, 540 nt
Filed under: Triticum aestivum (bread wheat)
Lineage: Eukaryota; Viridiplantae; Streptophyta; Magnoliopsida; Poales; Poaceae
Description: partial small subunit ribosomal RNA
Source: RNAcentral